This 634-nucleotide ribosomal RNA is filed under the name Salmonella enterica subsp. enterica serovar Virchow. RNAcentral's name for it is "partial 23S ribosomal RNA". It matches the Rfam family "Bacterial large subunit ribosomal RNA", at positions 1 to 668 of the family's 2925-position model. Lineage: Bacteria; Pseudomonadati; Pseudomonadota; Gammaproteobacteria; Enterobacterales; Enterobacteriaceae. The record is from RNAcentral.
GGGUUGUGAGGUUAAGCGACUAAGCGUACACGGUGGAUGCCCUGGCAGUCAGAGGCGAUGAAGGACGUGCUAAUCUGCGAUAAGCGCCGGUAAGGUGAUAUGAACCGUUAUAACCGGCGAUUUCCGAAUGGGGAAACCCAGUGUGAUUCGUCACACUAUCAUUAACUGAAUCCAUAGGUUAAUGAGGCGAACCGGGGGAACUGAAACAUCUAAGUACCCCGAGGAAAAGAAAUCAACCGAGAUUCCCCCAGUAGCGGCGAGCGAACGGGGAGGAGCCCAGAGCCUGAAUCAGCAUGUGUGUUAGUGGAAGCGUCUGGAAAGGCGCGCGAUACAGGGUGACAGCCCCGUACACAAAAGCGCAUGUGCUGUGAGCUCGAUGAGUAGGGCGGGACACGUGGUAUCCUGUCUGAAUAUGGGGGGACCAUCCUCCAAGGCUAAAUACUCCUGACUGACCGAUAGUGAACCAGUACCGUGAGGGAAAGGCGAAAAGAACCCCGGCGAGGGGAGUGAAAAAGAACCUGAAACCGUGUACGUACAAGCAGUGGGAGCACCCUUUGGGGUGUGACUGCGUACCUUUUGUAUAAUGGGUCAGCGACUUAUAUUCUGUAGCAAGGUUAACCGUAUAGGGGAGCCG